Molecule: ribosomal RNA, 492 nt
Filed under: uncultured bacterium
Lineage: Bacteria
Description: partial 16S ribosomal RNA
Rfam family: Bacterial small subunit ribosomal RNA
Source: RNAcentral
AGUGAACGCUGGCGGUAGGCCUAACACAUGCAAGUCGAACGGCAGCACAGUAAGAGCUUGCUCUUACGGGUGGCGAGUGGCGGACGGGUGAGGAAUACAUCGGAAUCUACUUUUUCGUGGGGGAUAACGUAGGGAAACUUACGCUAAUACCGCAUACGACCUACGGGUGAAAGCAGGGGAUCUUCGGACCUUGCGCGAUUGAAUGAGCCGAUGUCGGAUUAGCUAGUUGGCGGGGUAAAGGCCCACCAAGGCGACGAUCCGUAGCUGGUCUGAGAGGAUGAUCAGCCACACUGGAGCGGAGACACGGUCCAGACUCCUACGGGAGGCAGCAGUGGGGAAUAUUGGACAAUGGGCGCAAGCCUGAUCCAGCCAUACCGCGUGGGUGAAGAAGGCCUUCGGGUUGUAAAGCCCUUUUGUUGGGAAAGAAAAGCAGCAGGUUAAUACCCCGCUGUUCUGACGGUACCCAAAGAAUAAGCACCGGCUAACUUCGUG